RNAcentral lists this ribosomal RNA (549 nucleotides) under Pyrenochaetopsis sp. Its description in RNAcentral is "partial large subunit ribosomal RNA". It matches the Rfam family "Eukaryotic large subunit ribosomal RNA", at positions 86 to 650 of the family's 3401-position model. The record is from RNAcentral. Lineage: Eukaryota; Fungi; Ascomycota; Dothideomycetes; Pleosporales; Pyrenochaetopsidaceae.
ACGGCGAGUGAAGCGGCAUCAGCUCAAAUUUGAAAUCUGGCUCUUUCAGAGUCCGAGUUGUAAUUUGCAGAGGGCGCUUUGGUGUCGGCAGCGGUCCAAGUUCCUUGGAACAGGACGUCACAGAGGGUGAGAAUCCCGUACGUGGUCGCUGACCUACACCGUGUAAAGCCCCUUCGACGAGUCGAGUUGUUUGGGAAUGCAGCUCUAAAUGGGAGGUAAAUUUCUUCUAAAGCUAAAUACUGGCCAGAGACCGAUAGCGCACAAGUAGAGUGAUCGAAAGAUGAAAAGCACUUUGGAAAGAGAGUCAAACAGCACGUGAAAUUGUUGAAAGGGAAGCGCUUGCAGCCAGACUUGCUUGUAGUUGCUCAUCCGGGCUUUUGCCCGGUGCACUCUUCUGCGAGCAGGCCAGCAUCAGUUUGGACGGUUGGAUAAAGGCCUCUGUCACGUACCUUCUCUCGGGAAGGCCUUAUAGGGGAGGCGUCAUGCAACCAGUCUGGACUGAGGUCCGCGCAUCUGCUAGGAUGCUGGCGUAAUGGCUGUAAGCGGCCC